GCCCGCUCAGAACUCAAAGGAAUUGACGGGGGCCCGCACAAGCGGUGGAGUAUGUGGUUUAAUUCGAUGCAACGCGAAGAACCUUACCUGGUCUUGACAUCCCGGAGACCCUUAGGAAACUAGGGGGUGCUUCCAUCUGGAAGAAUCUGGAGACAGGUGCUGCAUGGCUGUCGUCAGCUCGUGUCGUGAGAUGUUGGGUUAAGUCCCGCAACGAGCGCAACCCUUGCCUUUAGUUGCCAGCAGUUCGGCUGGGCACUCUAAAGGGACUGCCGGUGUUAAACCGGAGGAAGGUGGGGAUGACGUCAAGUCCUCAUGGCCUUUAUGACCAGGGCUACACACGUACUACAAUGGCCGAUACAAAGGGCAGCGACACUGCGAGGUGAAGCCAAUCCCGUAAAAUCGGUCUCAGUCCGGAUUGGAGUCUGCAACUCGACUCCAUGAAGUUGGAAUCGCUAGUAAUCGUGGAUCAGCAUGCCACGGUGAAUACGUUCCCGGGCCUU
Molecule: ribosomal RNA, 500 nt
Filed under: uncultured Desulfobulbus sp.
Lineage: Bacteria; Pseudomonadati; Thermodesulfobacteriota; Desulfobulbia; Desulfobulbales; Desulfobulbaceae
Description: bacterial SSU rRNA
Rfam family: Bacterial small subunit ribosomal RNA
Source: RNAcentral